This 490-nucleotide ribosomal RNA is filed under the name uncultured bacterium. RNAcentral's name for it is "partial 16S ribosomal RNA". It matches the Rfam family "Bacterial small subunit ribosomal RNA", at positions 30 to 507 of the family's 1533-position model. The record is from RNAcentral.
AUUGAACGCUGGCGGCAGGCCUAACACAUGCAAGUCGAACGGUAACAUGAAGCAGCUUGCUGCUUCGCUGACGAGUGGCGGACGGGUGAGUAAUGUCUGGGAAACUGCCUGAUGAAGGGGGAUAACUACUGGAAACGGUAGCUAAUACCGCAUAACGUCGCAAGACCAAAGAGGGGGACCUUAGGGCCUCUUUCCAUCGGCUUAGCCCUGAUGGGAUUAGCUAGUAGGUGGGGUAACGGCUUACCUAGGCGACGAUCCCUAGCUGGUCUGAGAGGGGGACCGGCCACACUGGAACUGAGACACGGUCCAGACUCCUACGGGAGGCAGCAGUGGGGAAUAUUGCACAAUGGGCGAAAGCCUGAUGGAGCAAUGCCGCGUGUAUGAAGAAGGCCUUCGGGUUGUAAAGUACUUUCAGCGGGGAGGAAGGGAGUAAUGUUAAUCCCUUUGCUCAUUGACGUUACCCGCAGAAGAAGCAACGGCUAACUACGUG